CAGCCGCCGCGGGAAUACGGAGGGUGCAAGCGUUAAUCGGAAUUACUGGGCGUAAAGCGCACGCAGGCGGUCUGACAAGUCAGAUGUGAAAUCCCCGUGCUUAACCUGGGAACUGCAUUUGAAACUGUCAGGCUGGAGUCUUGUAGAGGGGGGUGGAAUUCCAGGUGUAGCGGUGAAAUGCGUAGAGAUCUGGAGGAAUACCGGUGGCGAAGGCGGCCCCCUGGACAAAGACUGACGCUCAGGUGCGAAAGCGUGGGGAGCAAACAGGAUUAGAUACCCGGGUAGUCCCUGUCUCUUAUAC
This 301-nucleotide ribosomal RNA is filed under the name uncultured bacterium. RNAcentral's name for it is "partial 16S ribosomal RNA". It matches the Rfam family "Bacterial small subunit ribosomal RNA", at positions 509 to 807 of the family's 1533-position model. The record is from RNAcentral.